Molecule: ribosomal RNA, 387 nt
Filed under: uncultured bacterium
Lineage: Bacteria
Description: bacterial SSU rRNA
Rfam family: Bacterial small subunit ribosomal RNA
Source: RNAcentral
AUUGAACGCUGGCGGCAGGCCUAACACAUGCAAGUCGAGCGGAAGGUUCUUCGGAACCGAGAGCGGCGGACGGGUGAGGAAAGCGUGGGAAUCUGCCUGUAGAUGGGGGAUAGCCCGGAGAAAUCCGGAUUAAUACCGCAUAAUACCUGAGGGCUAAAGUGGAGGAUCGCAAGACUUCACGUCUACAGAUGAGCCCCACGUCAGAUUAGCCUAGUUGGUAGGUAAAGGCCUACCAAGGCGACGAUCUGUAGCUGGCCUGAGAGGUGGCCAGCACACUGGAACUGAGACACGGUCCAGACUCCUACGGAGGCAGCAGUGGGGAAUAUUGGACAAUGGGCGCAAGCCUGAUCCAGCCAUGCCGCGUGUGUGAAGAAGGCCUGGUGUAAG